CCCCUCCGGCCGGCUCCUCUCCCGCCCGCGCCGCCUCCUCCUCCCCACCAGCGCCUCCCUCUCCUCCUUCCCGCCGCCACCCGGCCUUGGGGAAAGAUUUCGACUGCAUCCAGAGAGGGAAAGAUUUCGAGGGGGAGGAGAAGGGGAGAGCAGAGAAGCUUGGAGGGCGGCGGGCGGCGGCGAUGGACGGCGAGUGGUGGAGGAAGAAGUGGGUGGCGUGGGCGGCGGCGGCGGCGGCGGCCAUCUUCGUGGUGCUGCCCCCUCCCCCUCGCGCCGCCGCCCUCAGAGAAGCACCGCAGCCCACCGCCCCUAGCCGCCCCAUCCCCGUGCCUUCCCGUGCUCGCUCCUCCCCUCCCUUCCCAGCCGCCACUCCCCUCCCCUCCCCGGUCUCUGUUCCGCCGUCAUCGCCAUUGCCACUACUGGCCGUCACCAUCGCCGGGAGGAGGCCGAGCGAAGCGGGCCGCUUGUGCUGGAGACCAAGCCGCCUCUCCCUCCCGCGCGGUCGCGGCUCCCUCCUGCCCCUCGUCGCCGUCCCUGCCCCAACCACCGCACCCUCUCCCUCCCCCUACCGUCGGCCUCUCCCCAGGCGGCGGCCAGAUCUGCCACCGCCACGGUGGGGGCUUCUUAAUCCGCGCCGUCGUCGAGCUGGACGCGGCCGUCAACCUCGUACCACACCGCCGCCGCCAUGGAUGCACCAUAUCAAGGAACUGAUGCUGCUGCUAGCCUUGUAGUUAGUUGGGUGCUUGAUAAUUUCUCCAGGUGGAUGAGCACAAUAUGAAACAUGGACAUCCCUGUUGCAUCCUUCCGAAGCACUAGCCCCUCUCAAGUUUAUAGGAAGUUGCUGAAAUCAAAGAGGAGCAGCAAAAGAUCGAUGAGGCUAUUAAAAUCAUGCAGGAUGUUGUUCAUUGAAGGGGUGCCACUUGGCUGGCAGCAGGAAGUAAGCGAUCAACAUCAUCAAGAUCCGCUUGAAGGACAACACCAUGGAAGAUGCUCAAUGACCAGAUCGUCGUCCUCUCCGAGAGGAGGGGCCAGCUCAAGCAGGUACAACUAGCUCACCACAGCUCGCUCCUCCUCCCUCUUCUCUGUUUCGUGUUCGAUUGUUCAGAAACGUAACUUAUAUGUGGUGGAUGACUAAGCAAGUGGUUGAAUGAGAACUGAAACCUUUCACUUUUAAGGUUUGAGAUUGUUAUGAACUGCGAGUAUUUCAUAAAAAAAAUUCAGUUCAUAUAAAGCAAAAGAAAGGCAUGCAGUAACUUACAUUGACAGUGUGAUUGUUAACCCCUUAUGAUAUUGGAAACCUGAUAAAUAAUACAUUUUAUGACUGAAUGUUUAACGUGGGACUAGGAGACCCCCAGUUCUGUUUGGUACAUGAAUCUUCUUAUAUUUUGUCCAUUCUUUUUUAUUUUGAUCAAGAAGUCAUAUGGUAGUAUUAUUAGUGAUAUUUGUCAUUUACUUUAAGUUUUCAAGCACACAUUUAGUUUAGGUAAAUCUAAACUAAAUCUGUGAGCUUUGUCAUUUUUCAAGCACACAUUUAGUGAUAUUUUUCAUUUAUUGAAGGGGAGCCUUGGCGCAGUGGUAAAGCUGCUGCCUUGUGACCAUGAGGUCAUGGGUUCAAGUCCUGGAAACAGCCUCUUACAGAAAUGUAGGGAAAGGCUGCGUACUAUAGACCCAAAGUGGUCGGACCCUUCCCUGGACCCUGCGCAAGCGGGAGCUACAUGCACCAGGUUGCCCUUUUUUUUUUGAAGUUAUCCAGUUUUCACUGGGAGAAUCUCACAGAUUAGAUAGCACAAACUGUGAGCUUUGAGUAUCAUAUUUCUUUAAGUGGAAUCAUUGUGAUUUGGACUACAGGAAUGGCCGUCACUCCUGCAGUUCAUUUUGUCAACUGGUCGCAUGGUUGAUUAGAAAAAGAUCAUUUGAGGGUCCAUGCGUAUUGUGGUUGUAGUUCUGCGAAUCAAAAUGUUAUUCUUGGUUGCUAGAUUAAUUUGGUUAUUCAGUCGGCUCCCAAUUUCCAGUUUCUAAUUAUAUGAGGAAAUGGUGUUUUAAUGUUAAUUAAUUUGUUCGGUACUUCUGUUUUCUAAUUCUUUGCUUGAUGUGCUUUCAAUUGGGAGCUCUCCACUCGAAAAAUACCUCAACGCCCAGCCACCUCUUCACCACCACACGCCAGUCAGCGCACGAGGCAGCGGAACUGGAUUUGUCUUCGUCCAGGGAAGUGAAGUCGUCUGCUCCUGUGCGGUGCUGGGCCAACGACCUCCGCUUCUCUUCUCCAUGGACAAACUUCAAAAGGCAACAGCAAGCCAUAUCAAGGGAGGGGAUUGAAGUCACCCCACCUCAAAUCCAUGGGCGCCAUCCACAAGAACCGUGGCCAGGACAAGGAGGCGGACAUCUUCGCACUGCUUUUUGGCGGAGGGCGACGCAGAUUUGCGAGCCUUGUGGCGCAGGUUGACCGGCCGGUGCCGCGCGAAUCUGGUUCGACGAGGUCGUUGGCGACCUGCUGCGGUGGCGGGAUAACAGGAUCAGCUCCGGGAUGUCCGGGGCACGCUGCUGCCGCUCGUGCAGCAGAAUGGCGGCCGCAGCGGCGAUGCAAAAGUUCUUCGUUCACUUCCACGUCCCGAAAGACAUCAAGAUAACACACGGAGGCCCAUUCGUCUUUCGGCCAGCAGCCUUCUCGCCAACUAAGGCAUUUCUACUCGGUCCUUUUCUUUUAGCCUGCUGCAGGGACCAAACACUAUACCUUCUUCUUCGGUCUUCAAUCUGUUUUCUUCUUCAAUGAAGCUAACCACGACAUCCUGCACGUACUGCACCGCUCCCAGAGUUUCCACGGUGCGGCGGCUCGAACUGACGCUCUCAGCCACGGCGCGCCUGGAUCAGUCAGGUUGAUCGAGGGACAAUACUGGCAACCGCUCGUCCGUGCUGAUCUUCGACCGAGAUAGAGUUCAGGUUAUCACACCAUAUGAAGUGAAAGCGCCGUUGGGACUCUGCUCGCGGUGCAUAGAACUUCCAUGGCAGCACGGGCGAUUCCAAGGCCCACUUGAGCUCCUCCUGCUGAUGUCAGACGGUGAGGUUUCUCAACCUCCACUCUAUUAGCCAUGUCCACAAAGUCUUUGUGCCAGGAUUCUUCCCUUUGUAAAUGUGAAAGCGGCUUGUACGAUCUAUUCACAGACUUGCUCUGCUGCUUUGUAGCCCAACUGAUUAUGUACUCUUGAUCGUCCUCGUGGCAUCUGUCAACUCCAUUGUGAAUCGUCUCUUUAUCUUAAGGCUGUACUCGCUAUGCUAGAAUGAUAGAUGAUAUAGUAAAUACAUCUUUUCUUUUUACAAGGCUCAUAUCGUAAGGAAUGUCGUGUACUGUGAACCAAGUUCAGUAUGUUGUCUAUUAAAUAUAUUCCUGUUUCUUCUUCAAAAUAUGAUGCUCCAGUUCAGAUAAUCAGUAGUGCAUAUUUUGGCUGAUAUUUCUAUUACAAAGCACUUGGUGGUGAUGGAUAAGUGUCGGACGGGUUGGGUUUCUUGUUUGAAGAGACUUGCAUUGUUGACUAUUAUAGCCUUUUUCUGUGUAACUUAACAAGUGUUAACAUAUUUUUAAAAUAUUACUAUAAUUUUGAAAUUUGUUAACAUGUUUCAAAAAUGUUCGUUCACUUUUAAAACUGUCCGCACAUCUAUGUCCUGCUCCUAUCAUAUUCUUCACUGCAUGUUAUCCAUUAUGAUUGCAUAUAUUAAACUUGGGUUAAUACUGACUUAGCAUUACCUGUUUUAAAAAUGUUGGGACCGGCACCCUCGCGCCAGGGCGCGAACCCGAUCUAGUAGAUAUGAAGAAGAAGAAGAAGAGGAGGAGAAAGAAGAAGGCGUUUCCACGGAACGCUAGUGUUGGAGAACAUGUGUCUUGUCCCUCCGUGUGAAUGCGAUGGGAGACAAGCGGCCUGAGGGGGUUUUGGUUUGGGUCGGGGGCGUUGGGGGGUUUGAUGACCUGAAAUUAAGAAGGUGAUCGCAGAUGGCAGGCGGCGACGCACAAACCGCCAACCCCUGCCCAACUCCUCCUCUUGAAAAUGAUUCCCCCGGCACGCCGCGGUCCCGUCUCAAGCAUUAAGCGCUAAGCCAUUAAGACGCAUUUAAUCUGGGCAGAUGGAGGGUGACGCCGCGGCCACCACGGGGGGAGCUGGAGCUGGGCAUUCUGCAGGCCCUACUUCUGAGAGCACAGUAUUAAUCUGAUGGCAACCAACCAAUCAUAUGGAAAUUCAGGCGACCACAGAAAUCUACUCCCUCCAUCCUUUAAAAAGUGUACUUCCAACUUUGUUGGAGGGUCAAACUAUCUCAAUGUUUGACUGAGUUUGUGCAAAAAUAUAUCAAUGUUUAUGAAACCAAAUAGGUAUAUGAUGAAAAUAUAUUUUAUGAUGAAUCUAAUGCUACUAAUUUGAUGGCAUAAAUGUUGGUGCAUUAUUGUAUAAAUACGGC
RNAcentral lists this ribosomal RNA (4443 nucleotides) under Triticum aestivum (bread wheat). RNAcentral describes it as "partial small subunit ribosomal RNA". The record is from RNAcentral. Lineage: Eukaryota; Viridiplantae; Streptophyta; Magnoliopsida; Poales; Poaceae.